GACGAACGCUGGCGGCGUGCUUAACACAUGCAAGUCGAACGGUAAGGCUCCAGCUUGCUGGGGUACACGAGUGGCGAACGGGUGAGUAACACGUGGGUGACCUGCCCUGCACUUCGGGAUAAGCCUGGGAAACUGGGUCUAAUACCGGAUAGGACCGCACCGUGAGGGUGUGGUGGAAAGUUUUUUCGGUGUGGGAUGGGCCCGCGGCCUAUCAGCUUGUUGGUGGGGUAAUGGCCUACCAAGGCGGCGACGAGUAGCCGGCCUGAGAGGGUGGACGGCCACAUUGGGACUGAGACACGGCCCAGACUCCUACGGGAGGCAGCAGUGGGGAAUAUUGCACAAUGGGCGGAAGCCUGAUGCAGCGACGCCGCGUGGGGGAUGACGGCCUUCGGGUUGUAAACUCCUUUCACCAUCGACGAAGGGUUUCUGACGGUAGAUGGAGAAGAAGCACCGGCUAACUACGUG
Molecule: ribosomal RNA, 465 nt
Filed under: uncultured bacterium
Lineage: Bacteria
Description: partial 16S ribosomal RNA
Rfam family: Bacterial small subunit ribosomal RNA
Source: RNAcentral